Molecule: ribosomal RNA, 291 nt
Filed under: uncultured bacterium
Lineage: Bacteria
Description: partial 16S ribosomal RNA
Rfam family: Bacterial small subunit ribosomal RNA
Source: RNAcentral
GUGGAUUAGAUACCCUGGUAGUCCACGCCCUAAACGAUGAUGACUAGUUGUUGGAGGAGUUAAAUCCUUUAGUAACGCAGCUAACGCGUGAAGUCAUCCGCCUGGGGAGUACGGUCGCAAGAUUAAAACUCAAAGGAAUUGACGGGGGCCCGCACAAGCGGUGGAUGAUGUGGUUUAAUUCGAUGCAACGCGAAAAACCUUACCUACCCUUGACAUGCUAGGAACUCUGCAGAAAUGCAGAGGUGCCCGAAAGGGAACCUAGACACAGGUGCUGCACGGCCGUCGUCAACU